AAAAAGUUAGUUAUAAUAAUAACAUUAAAUUGUCAAUUUAAAAUUACUAUAUAAAUAGUACUUUUUG
Molecule: transfer RNA, 67 nt
Filed under: Acanthosepion pharaonis
Lineage: Eukaryota; Metazoa; Mollusca; Cephalopoda; Sepiida; Sepiidae
Description: Sepia pharaonis tRNA-Asp
Source: RNAcentral